ACCCAGCUGACGAGUCCCGAACAGGACGAAACGCGCGUCCUGGAU
This is a non-coding RNA of Schistosoma curassoni, 45 nucleotides long. Lineage: Eukaryota; Metazoa; Platyhelminthes; Trematoda; Strigeidida; Schistosomatidae. The record is from Rfam.